CUUCUCUGAUGUUAGCGGCGGACGGGUGAGUAACACGUGGGUAACCUACCUAUAAGACUGGGAUAACUCCGGGAAACCGGGGCUAAUACCGGAUAAUAUUUUGAACCGCAUGGUUCAAUAGUGAAAGACGGUUUCGGCUGUCACUUAUAGAUGGACCCGCGCCGUAUUAGCUAGUUGGUAAGGUAACGGCUUACCAAGGCGACGAUACGUAGCCGACCUGAGAGGGUGAUCGGCCACACUGGAACUGAGACACGGUCCAGACUCCUACGGGAGGCAGCAGUU
RNAcentral lists this ribosomal RNA (282 nucleotides) under uncultured Staphylococcus sp. RNAcentral's name for it is "partial 16S ribosomal RNA". It matches the Rfam family "Bacterial small subunit ribosomal RNA", at positions 81 to 355 of the family's 1533-position model. Lineage: Bacteria; Bacillati; Bacillota; Bacilli; Caryophanales; Staphylococcaceae. The record is from RNAcentral.